Molecule: long non-coding RNA, 338 nt
Filed under: Vigna radiata
Lineage: Eukaryota; Viridiplantae; Streptophyta; Magnoliopsida; Fabales; Fabaceae
Description: long non-coding RNA (VRAD_LNC001339)
Source: RNAcentral
AUACAACAGAAAAUAAAAUAAAAAAUAAUAAACUAACCGACUGUAAUCUGAUAACAAAAAAAAUAUUAAUCCUUUAUUUUUCUUCGGAGGAAUCGGAAGAGUCAGUGAAGUUGAAGAUGUCAGAGAAGUCGGAGGAGUCGGAGAUGUCGGAGGUGUCGGUAGUCGGAUUCCAAACCGGAGGGAUCCGAACCGGAGGAACCGAAGGAUUGAUCCAAGAUAGUGCCAAGGUGUUGUAAUACUUCCAUGUGAGAAGCGCGGUAGAGAAACGAGAAAGAGAAGAACUCACCACGAGUGAAACAAUAAAGAAAAGAUAAGAGUGAAAUGUGUGAUAGGUGUUU